Molecule: transfer RNA, 110 nt
Filed under: Scleropages formosus (Asian bonytongue)
Lineage: Eukaryota; Metazoa; Chordata; Actinopteri; Osteoglossiformes; Osteoglossidae
Rfam family: tRNA
About the family: Transfer RNA (tRNA) molecules are approximately 80 nucleotides in length.
Source: Rfam by way of RNAcentral
GUCAGGAUGGCCGAGUGGUCUAAGGCGCCAGACUCAAGGUUCAAUACCUUCCAUAUAAAUGGGGCUUCUGGUCUCCAAUGGAGGCGUGGGUUCGAAUCCCACUUCUGACA